GGGCCUUGGGCGUCGGCCUUAACCAUGCAAGUCGAGCGGUAGCAGGGAAGAAAGCUUGCUUUCUCCGCUGACGAGCGGCGGAGGGGUGAGUAAUGUCUGGGGAUCUGCCUGAUGGAGGGGGAUAACUACUGGAAACGGUAGCUAAUACCGCAUAACGUCGCAAGACCAAUGUGGGGGACCUUCGGGCCUCAUGCCAUCAGAUGACCCCAGAUGGGAUUAGCUAGUAGGUGGGGUAAUGGCUCACCUAGGCGACGAUCCCUAGCUGGUCUGAGAGGAUGACCAGCCACACUGGAACUGAGACACGGUCCAGACUCCUACGGGAGGCAGCAGUGGGGAAUAUUGCACAGUGGGCGCAAGCCUGAUGCACCCAUGCCGCGUGUAUAAAGAAGGCCUUCGGGUUGUAAAGUACUUUCAGUAGGGAGGAGGGUGUGAACGUUAAUAGCGUUCACAUUUGACGUUACCUACAGAAGAAGCACCGGCUAACUCCGUGCCAGCAGCCGCGGUAAUACGGAGGGUGCAAGCUUUAAUCGGAAUUACUGGGCGUAAAGCGCACGCAGGCGGUUUGUUAAGUUGGAUGUGAAAUCCCCGGGCUUAACCUGGGAACUGCAUCCAAGACUGGCAAGCUAGAGUCUCGUAGAGGGAGGUAGAAUUCCAGGUGUAGCGGUAAAAUGCGUAGAGAUCUGGAGGAAUACCGGUGGCGAGGGCGGCCUCCUGGACGAAGACUGACGCUCAUGUGCGAAAGCGUGGGGAGCAAACAGGAUUAGAUACCCGGGUAGUCCACGCUAUACACUAUGUCUAUGUGGAGGUUGUGCCCUUGAGGCGUGUCUCCCGACGCUAACGCGUUAUAUCCACCGCCUGGGAGAGUACGGCCGCAGUGAUAAAACUCAAAUGAUUGACGGGGGCCCGCACACGCGGUGGGAGCAUGUGGUUUUAAUUCUAUGCAACGCGAAGACCCUCACCUACUCUAGACCUCCAGCAAACUCCUGUAGAGAUACGGGGA
Molecule: ribosomal RNA, 1000 nt
Filed under: Edwardsiella tarda
Lineage: Bacteria; Pseudomonadati; Pseudomonadota; Gammaproteobacteria; Enterobacterales; Hafniaceae
Description: bacterial SSU rRNA
Rfam family: Bacterial small subunit ribosomal RNA
Source: RNAcentral